This 76-nucleotide transfer RNA is filed under the name Boseongicola sp. Its description in RNAcentral is "tRNA-Lys". It matches the Rfam family "tRNA". From Rfam's summary of the family: Transfer RNA (tRNA) molecules are approximately 80 nucleotides in length. Their secondary structure includes four short double-helical elements and three loops (D, anti-codon, and T loops). Lineage: Bacteria; Pseudomonadati; Pseudomonadota; Alphaproteobacteria; Rhodobacterales; Paracoccaceae. RNAcentral also lists the same sequence under 3 other names. The record is from RNAcentral.
GAACGUGUAGCUCAGUGGUCAGAGCAGCGGUCUCUUAAACCGCAGGUCGUGGGUUCGACUCCCACCGCGUUCUCCA